UGUGUGCCCCCUUGCCCCGGAAUGUGCCGGGUGCGCGGGGGUUGCUGGUGUGGAAGAGUGGAGUCGGCCUUCGGGCGUGCCGGUCGUGCGGUGCGUCCAGGAGUGGUGCGGGCAUGCUUUUGGGUUCCCGGACCGCCACCCCGCGCCGUUUGGCGUGGCUGGUGUUCCGUGCCCCGUGCCGGUCGCCCGUCCCCUGGUGGGGUGGGUGGGCUCGCGUGCGGGUGCGUGGUGGUUUGAGAACUGGAUAGUGGACGCGAGCAGGGGACGCCCUUUUCGGGGGUGUCUUCUGCUGUUGAUUUCGCCGGACUCUUCGGAGUUCUGGUGUUUGAUCGUUUUGUGUGUGAUCAUUUGUGUGAUGAUUUGUGUUUGCCAGC
This 374-nucleotide unclassified non-coding RNA is filed under the name Bifidobacterium bifidum. RNAcentral describes it as "partial 16S-23S ribosomal RNA intergenic spacer". The record is from RNAcentral. Lineage: Bacteria; Bacillati; Actinomycetota; Actinomycetes; Bifidobacteriales; Bifidobacteriaceae.